UCCACUGUCUCCUGCAGAGCAUCUAUAAUGAUGCCAUUAUCUUAGCCCUUAUCUUAUCCUCUCUGUUGGUCACUCCAACCUUAUCUUCUUGAUCUGUCCAACUUUAUCCUCAAGCGAUGAGAAGAGUCAUUAUGUAUUGUUCUAUAAAUUGAAUCAAUGAGAAUGCAAUAUGAGAGCCCCUUUGUGAGCUUCUCCUCUGGUCCAUGUUUUUAACAUGGUAUCAGAGCCGAGAAGGUUCGGAGAUCUAAGGCUGAAGCCAUUGCACACGAUCACCCAAUGUUGGUGACCACUCAGUUGAGCAAAAUCAGGAGCGAUCGGAGAUAUAUUUGUCUCACUUGGUCAAGAGAGGAUACCUAGUCACAGAGGUGAACAAAAGGAACUGCAAUUCUGAAGCCACUGCUGAAGGAAGAAGUUGAUGAUGUGAUGCUCGGUGGAGGAAUACAAUUGGCAUCAUCGCAGCUGCCAAAGAAGAGAAGGCAGAUAGAUUCUGAUCUAUCAUGCCUCAAACUGAAGCCGUGGAGCUUGUCUAGCGUCUGUUUCUACUGCACACAUCUUAAAAUAAAACCUCCUAGCCAAAGGUUAAAGUCGCAGAAGCUUGAAGUGAUUGCUGAAUCGUUGGCAAAUGGAAAGAAGCCAAGCCGCAGCUGAUGAAAAUUGACAAGCCUCAGCAAAGGAGUAAGGCUGUCAUCACCAAAGUCUACCAAAGUGGAGGAAAUUGUUUGCAAAAUGGACGGUGAGAUGUCACCCUAGCCGCUGCCAAAAGAAAGGAGAUUGCAAGCCACGAAGAAGGCUUUGUUUUGCUUACCUGCCAAGAAGGUUCACACCUGCCGCAUCCUUUUCCUUUUUUUUUGGAUAACUAAAGAAGUGAAGCUAGGAGCUGAGUUAGAAAAGAAGGAGGCUGAUCGGAGGGAAGUUGAAUCUGCCAACAACGAUCUUAGAUCUGUGACCAUAGACCGCAUCACCUAGACUAGCUGCCAGCUAUAACAGUCAAAGAGAAAGUGUUUGGAUCAGAGUUGAGAGGAUUUGCACAAGUUUGAGGCGAGUUAAAAGAUUAAAUCCUAGGGGAAGAAAGAAGAAGACUAAAGGAAAAGAGGUAAAACAAAGAUUAUCUAUAGCAUUGAGAUGUAAAUGGGCUUAAGCAAUAGAAUUGUACUUUUUGUGCAAA
Molecule: long non-coding RNA, 1165 nt
Organism: Cryptomeria japonica (Japanese cedar)
Lineage: Eukaryota; Viridiplantae; Streptophyta; Pinopsida; Cupressales; Cupressaceae
Exons: 2
Source: RefSeq, a predicted model, not a curated record